CGGGGCGUCAGAGAGGGUGAGAAUCCCGUAUGGGCCCGGCGGCCCUGCCCGUGUGAAACCCCUUCGACGAGUCGAGUUGUUUGGGAAUGCAGCUCUAAAUGGGUGGUAAAUUUCAUCUAAAGCUAAAUACCGGCCAGAGACCGAUAGCGCACAAGUAGAGUGAUCGAAAGAUGAAAAGCACUUUGGAAAGAGAGUCAAACAGUACGUGAAAUUGUUGAAAGGGAAGCGCUUGCGACCAGACCUGCGCGCGGGCGAUCAGCCGUCCUUCUGGGCGGUGCACUCGCCCGCGGGCAGGCCAGCAUCGGUUUCGGCGGCCGGACAAAGGCCUUGGGAAUGUAGCUCCUCUCGGGGAGCCUUAUAGCCCUCGGCGGAACGCGGCCAGCCGGGACCGAGGACCGCGCUUCGGCUAGGAUGCUGGCGUAAUGGUCGCAAGCGGCCCGUCUUGAAACACGGACCAAGGAGUCUAACAUCUAUGCGAGUGUUUGGGCGUCAAACCCAUGCGCGCAAUGAAAGUGAACGGAGGUGGGAGCCCGCUCGGGCGCACCAUCGACCGAUCCUGAUGUCUUCGGAUGGAUUUGAGUACGAGCAUAGCUGUUGGGACCCGAAAGAUGGUGAACUAUGCCUGAAUAGGGUGAAGCCAGAGGAAACUCUGGUGGAGGCUCGCAGCGGUUCUGACGUGCAAAUCGAUCGUCAAAUUUGGGUAUA
Molecule: ribosomal RNA, 705 nt
Filed under: Megaloblastenia marginiflexa
Lineage: Eukaryota; Fungi; Ascomycota; Lecanoromycetes; Teloschistales; Megalosporaceae
Description: eukaryotic LSU rRNA
Rfam family: Eukaryotic large subunit ribosomal RNA
Source: RNAcentral